This 507-nucleotide ribosomal RNA is filed under the name uncultured bacterium. Its description in RNAcentral is "bacterial SSU rRNA". It matches the Rfam family "Bacterial small subunit ribosomal RNA", at positions 25 to 518 of the family's 1533-position model. The record is from RNAcentral.
CAGGAUGAACGCUAGCUACAGGCUUAACACAUGCAAGUCAGGGGCAGCAUGAAGAUGUGCUUGCACAACUUUGAUGGCGACCGGCGCACGGGUGAGUAACGCGUAUCCAACCUUCCCUAUAGUAGAGAAUAGCCCGGCGAAAGUCGGAUUAAUGCUCUAUGUUCUUCUUUGAUGGCAUCUGACGAGAAGCAAAGGUUCACCGCUAUAGGAUGGGGGAUGCGUCUGAUUAGGUAGUCGGCGGGGUAACGGCCCACCGAGCCAUCGAUCAGUAGGGGUUCUGAGAGGAAGGUCCCCCACAUUGGUACUGAGACACGGACCAAACUCCUACGGGAGGCAGCAGUGAGGAAUAUUGGUCAAUGGGCGAGAGCCUGAACCAGCCAAGUAGCCGUGCAGGAUGACUGCCCUAUGGGUUGUAAACUGCUUUUAUAGGGGAAUAAAGUGAGGUACGUGUACCUUUUUGUAUGUACCCUAUGAAUAAGGACCGGCUAAUUCCGUGCCAGCCGCGGC